CUUUGAUGAUAAUUAAAUUAUUCUUCAAUUCACUGAAGAACUGCAUUCAGCUGCCCUAUACAAAGAAGACUGUAAGGAACAUUCUUUCAUUCAUCUUCUAUUAUCCAUGUGUGAGUCUUUCUCUGGUUUAUACACAUAGAAGUAGAUUUUCUGGGUUUGGGGAUAUGAAUAUUUUUUUACCUCUAUUGCUAAACUCUUCUUUUUUCUCUGUCAGGGUACUUUCAGCUGCAAGUAAUGGACAGUAGAAUUCAUAGUAUCUUAAAUAAAGAAUUUAUUAGCACAUAUAAGAAGUCCAGGGGUUUGGCUGCCUUAUACUUGUAUAAUUUAUUGACUCAAUGGCAUGCUUUCUUCAUGGAAAAGCAGUUCCUCUCCAUGAAUCACACAGAGACUGAAGAACAGUAGCCUGGGGCAUGGUGUCUGUCUUUUUUGAAGAGCAGGAAAACUUUUCCUAGAUAUUUCUCCCAUUUGAUUUUCCUACAUAUUUUAUUGGCUAAAAUUAAAGCAUACGUUCAUGCCUAAACUGUUUGCUUACAAAGUUUGACAAAACCAUGAUGACUGGGGAAUACAGCUAGUUUUCCUUGAAGAAUGUGAUCACCAGGAGGAAGGAGAUAGCUGAACCACAUAAGCCUUUAGAAAGGAAGAAAGGGAAGGUGGAUGGCAAUAGGCAAUCAGCAGUGUCUGCCACAUCUCCAAAGUGCUUGCCACAUUCCCAUCAGUAGUGUUUGAGUCCUUAAUUGUCAGAAUUUUUGUUUGUUUUUGCUACACUAAUGAGAUUGUAAUGAUAUGCUUUUGUUUUCUUUACUAUUUUUCUGCUCCUAUUGGGUUGCACACCUUUUCAGAUGUUUAUAGGUUCUUUGCAUUUUCUUGUCUUUGAAAUGCCUUAUUUAUGUUCUUUGCCUUGUAUUCUGCUG
Molecule: long non-coding RNA, 911 nt
Filed under: Marmota monax (woodchuck)
Lineage: Eukaryota; Metazoa; Chordata; Mammalia; Rodentia; Sciuridae
Source: RNAcentral